Molecule: unclassified non-coding RNA, 308 nt
Filed under: uncultured fungus
Lineage: Eukaryota; Fungi
Description: partial contains small subunit ribosomal RNA, internal transcribed spacer 1, and 5.8S ribosomal RNA
Rfam family: Eukaryotic small subunit ribosomal RNA (bases 1-73)
Source: RNAcentral
GCAAACUUGGUCAUUUAGAGGAAGUAAAAGUCGUAACAAGGUUUCCGUAGGUGAACCUGCGGAAGGAUCAUUAAUGAAUAGCCAAAGAGAAAGAUUUGAUGCUGACUCUUGUUAAAGAGUAUGUGCACGUCUUUCUUAAUGCAUUCAAAAUCCCCUUAUACAUUUGUGCACAUUUGUAGACAUGAGUAUUAACUCUGUCUAUGUUUUUCUUUGAAACACUUUGAAAACGUUAUUGUUUUUGAUAAAUGUAUUUUAAUACAACUUUCAACAACGGAUCUCUUGGCUCUCGCAUCGAUGAAGAACGCAGC